RNAcentral lists this long non-coding RNA (1573 nucleotides) under Homo sapiens (human). Its description in RNAcentral is "non-protein coding lnc-ZNF680-42:2". Lineage: Eukaryota; Metazoa; Chordata; Mammalia; Primates; Hominidae. The record is from RNAcentral.
AUGGCUAAAAGACCGGGACCCCCUGGAAGCCGGGAAAUGGGACUGUUGACAUUCAGAGACAUAGCUAUAGAAUUCUCUCUGGAGGAAUGGCAAUGCCUGGAUUGUGCUCAGCGGAAUUUAUAUAGACAUGUGAUGUUAGAGAACUACAGAAACUUGGUCUCCCUGGGUGGUAUUGCUGUCUCUAAGCCAGACUUGAUCACCUGUCUGGAGCAAAAUAAAGAGUCCCAGAAUAUAAAGAGAAAUGAGAUGGUAGCCAAACGCCCACAGUUACGCAUUCCCAUUUCACCCAAGACCUUCAGCCAGAGCAGGGCAUCAAAGAUUCACUCCAAAAAGUAAUACCAAGAACAUAUGGAAAAUGUGGACAUGAGAAAUUACAAUUUAAAAAAUGCUGUAAAAGUGUGGGUGAAUGUGAGGUGCCCAAAGAGGUUAUAGUGAAGUUAACCAAUGUUUGUCAACUACCCAAAACAAAAUAUUUCAGACUCAUAAAUAUGUCAAAGUCUUUGGUAAAUUUUCAAAUUCCAAUAGAGAUAAAACAAGAUAUACUGGAAAGAAACAUUUCAAAUGUAACAAAUAUGGCAAAUCAUUUUGCAUGCUUUCACACCUAAAUCAACAUCAGGUAAUUCAUACUAGGGAGAAGUCCUACAAAUGCAAAGAAUGUGGCAAAUCCUUUAACUGCUCCUCAAACCAUACUACACAUAAAAUAAUUCAUACUGGAGAGAAACCAUAUAGAUGUGAGGAAUGUGGCAAAGCCUUUAGCUGGUCCGCAAACCUUACUAGACAUAAGAGAAUUCAUACUGGAGAGAAACCCUACACAUGUGAAGAAUGUGGCCAAGCCUUUAGGCGCUCCUCAGCACUUACUAACCACAAGAGAAUUCAUACUGGAGGGAGACCCUACAAAUGUGAAGAAUGUGGCAAAGCCUUUAGCGUAUCCUCAACCCUCACUGACCACAAGAGAAUUCAUACUGGAGAGAAACCCUGCAGGUGUGAGGAAUGUGGCAAAGCCUUUAGCUGGUCCUCAAACCUUACUAGACAUAAGAGAAUUCAUACUAGAGAAAACCCUAUGCCUGUGAAGAAUGUGGCCAAGCCUUUAGCUUAUCCUCGAACCUUACUAGACAUAAGAGAAUUCAUACUGGAGAGAAACCCUACACAUAUGAAGAAUGUGGCCAAGACUUUAGGCGCUCCUCAGCACUUACUAUCCACAAGAGAAUUCAUACUGGAGAGAGACCCUACAAAUGUGAAGAGUGUGGCAAAGUCUUUAGCUUAUCCUCAACCCUCACUGACCACAAGAGAAUUCAUACUGGAGAGAGACCCUACAAAUGUGAAGAAUGUGGCAAAGCCUUUAGCUUAUCCUCAACCCUCACUGACCACAAGAGAAUUCACACUGGAGAGAGACCCUACACAUGUGAAGAAUGUGGCAAAGCCUUUAAUUGCUCCUCAACCCUUAUGCAACAUAAGAGAAUUCAUACUGGAGAGAAACCCUACAAAUGUGAAGAAUGUGACCAAGCUUUUAAGUGGCAUUCAAGUCUUGCUAAACAUAAGAUAAUUCACACUGGAGAGAAACCCUACAAAUGUG